RNAcentral lists this ribosomal RNA (690 nucleotides) under Micrococcus sp. RNAcentral describes it as "bacterial SSU rRNA". It matches the Rfam family "Bacterial small subunit ribosomal RNA", at positions 824 to 1508 of the family's 1533-position model. Lineage: Bacteria; Bacillati; Actinomycetota; Actinomycetes; Micrococcales; Micrococcaceae. The record is from RNAcentral.
GGACCAUUCCACGCUUUUCCGCGCCACCUCUAACGCAUUAUAUGCCCCCCCUGGAGAGUACGGCCGCAAGGCUAAAACUCAUAGGAAUUGACGGGGGCCCGCACAAGCGGCGGAGCAUGCGGAUUAAUUCGAUGCAACGCGAAAAACCUUACCAAGGCUUGACAUGUUCUCGAUCGCCGUAAAGAUACUGUUUCCCCUUUGGGGCGGGUUCACAGGUGGUGCAUGGUUGUCGUCAGCUCGUGUCUUGAGAUGUUGGGUUAAGUCCCGCAACAAGCGCAACCCUCGUUCCAUGUUGCCAGCACGUCAUGGUGGGGACUCAUGGGACACUGCCGGGGUCAACUCGGAAGAAGGUGAGGACGACGUCAAAUCAUCAUGCCCCUUAUGUCUUGGGCUUCACGCAUGCUACAAUGGCCGGUACAAUGGGUUGCGAUACUGUGAGGUGGAGCUAAUCCCAAAAAGCCGGUCUCAGUUCGAUAUUGGGGUCUGCAACUCGACCCCAUGAAGUCGAGAGUCGCUAGUAAUCGCAUAUCAGCAACGCUGCGGUGAAUACGUUCCCGGGCCUUGUACACACCGCCCGUCCAGUCACGAAAGUUGGUAACACCCGAAGCCGGUGGCCUAGCCCUUGUGGGGGGAGCCGUCGAGUGUGCGACCACCGAUUGGGACUCAUUCGUAACAAGGUAUAAGUAAGUU